This 2034-nucleotide long non-coding RNA is filed under the name Gallus gallus (chicken). Lineage: Eukaryota; Metazoa; Chordata; Aves; Galliformes; Phasianidae. The record is from RNAcentral.
CGCCCGUGCCCGGCUCGGCCGGCCCCGCUCUGGUGCCGGUCCCUCGCCCCCCGCUUCCCGCUCUGCUGCCCGCCCCUGCCGGCGUCCCUCAGCGGGGCACAGGGAGCUCCGCGCCUGGUGGCUCCUCCGUGGGGGGCGAGGGGCGUGCAGCCGGUCCCUGCCUACGGUGAAACGAGAGGUCCCUAGGGAUGGUGGGCAGCCCUUCCCGGCUUCUUCCCUCCCGAGCACCUCCACGGGCGCAGUUAGCUAUGAACCCGGGGAGAAUCUCACGUUCGUCAAGUGUGGGCAAUUGACUUCUGUGUCCUACAGGGGGAAGGCCCUUCCCCAAGGAACGGCCGUGCCUUUGCCUCCCAAGCCUCCGUGCGGGCGGCUUCCAGAACGUUCCAGCUAUUCCCCCUGCUGAGCCCGGGGAAAGGCAGCUCGAGGCCAACCGAGCUCCUCGUGCCGGUUUCUGGAGGCUGGAGGAGAAACCCACAGCAGAGUGUGGGCUCAGAAGGAGCGGAAUCAUUAUCGAAACCCCAAAUAGCACGGCUCUAACUCCUACUUGCGUCUCGUGUUUAGGAUUGCAGUGAUGUGGAGAGCCGGAGGUGCCCCCGUGGCGCGGGGAUGGAGUCAGGAGAUGCCCAGGAGGACGAUAUCACAUCUGCUGCUCCCAACAAGCCCGGGCCACCUGGCAUGGGAGGGUGCGGGCACAGCAGUAUGUGAGUCACCUCGGACACACAGGUAAUGUUCCGUCUAAAUCAGAUAAUUCCCUGCUGCUGCGUUCACCGGCAGCUUGGGAUGCACAGGGGUGGAGAAAAAGCUAUUCCUCCACAAUCAAGAAUGCCAUCAACGUGUGCUUAACUGAGAGCUGUGUAGAUGACCACUGGUGAGUUUUGGUUUUCUUUAUCAAUGAUGUGAUUUCAUCAACCGUGAGGGAAAAUUUGGCCAUUAUCUUCGGUGAGAACAUUUUUACGUUAUGCUAUUGACCCGCCCGUAUCAUAAUUGCAGAAGUCUUUGUUAGUUAUGAAACUCUCCUCCAUCUCAUCUAAACAUAAUGUAUGCAGUUUCAGAGGUUUCUUAAACUGCAGACUCCUACUCAGCUGUUUUUCUGACUGGCAAUCACAGCUCUAUUCUGCCUUUAUAUCUGCACCUACCUUGUUUUUUUGUGUGUCGUUUCUUCAUGCCGUUUGCAAUAGUUUAUAUUCUUGUGUCCUUUCUUUCCCUUAAAGAACUUCUGUUCAGGUCACUGUGGGCCUGACUGUAUACAAGACAGAACAGAUCCUCGUCUUCACAGGCACUCAGCUUACUGGAAAAGAUCAGGAUGCUCAACCAGUGUGAAAAGGGAUAAUAACAAGGCAGAUGUACAUAAAGCAACAAGUGGGAAGAAAAUAUUUGUUUGGGAAUUUAAGCAGAUGCAGCUACAACCAGUUCCUUUCAUCUAUUGAUGCGUGAACGUUACGUUUCAUUUUCAAGUGCUGUUUAGUCAGUGAGGCAUUGGAAACAAUGCAGUUAGACGUAAUAAACCGUUUUCUUUUGCUAUUUCCUGACUUGGAAGCAUCCUUGUAGAUUUUCAGGAUGUUCCCCCCCAGUUCUUCAGGCUCAUCUUGCUAUCACGUGAGUAAUUUCAGAAGGCACGUUUCCUAGCUAACACUCAUCUCCUUGCAGUUGUACACCGCACAACAUUUAUAAUUAAGCCUCUUAGGAAGUGUUCACUGCACGGCCCAUGAUUAACUUCCCUUCAUUCUUCAUUGUUGAAGCUCAGCACGGAGAUCUCUGGAGUAAUCACCCCACCUUUCCAGCCUGAAAUGCCAAACUGCAUCAUAGUUUACAAGUCAGUGUGCACUACAAUAUUGUCCCAGCAUGGAAGGACAUGUUGAUGCCUUUAUCACAGUCUAACAGGCAAUACAGGCUGAUCCAAGGAAAGUAUUCUCUCAGCAGAUGAGCUAGAUAAAGCAGUUGAUCAGAGGCUGUUGACACACAGCACAGCAUCUAUAAUUAAGCCACUAGGGAAGCAGGGAUGGGACGCUGUAACAGAGGUAGGAUCCAGUUUGC